AGAGUUUGAUCAUGGCUCAGGAUGAACGCUAGCUACAGGCUUAACACAUGCAAGUCAAGGGGAAACGACAUCGAAAGCUUGCUUUUGAUGGGCGUCGACCGGCGCACAGGUGAGUAACGCGUAUCCAACCUGCCCAUCACUUGGGGAUAACCUUGCGAAAGUAAGACUAAUACCCAAUGAUAUCUCUAGAAGGCAUCUGAAAGAGAUUAAAGAUUUAUCGGUGAUGGAUGGGGAUGCGUCUGAUUAGCUUGUUGGCGGGGUAACGGCCACAAGCAACGAUCAGUAGGGGUUCUGGAGAGGAAGGUCCCCCANAUUGGAACUGAGACACGGUCCAAACUCCGUACGGGAGGCA
This 352-nucleotide ribosomal RNA is filed under the name uncultured bacterium. Its description in RNAcentral is "bacterial SSU rRNA". It matches the Rfam family "Bacterial small subunit ribosomal RNA", at positions 8 to 350 of the family's 1533-position model. The record is from RNAcentral.